This 515-nucleotide ribosomal RNA is filed under the name uncultured bacterium. RNAcentral's name for it is "partial 16S ribosomal RNA". It matches the Rfam family "Bacterial small subunit ribosomal RNA", at positions 28 to 523 of the family's 1533-position model. The record is from RNAcentral.
GACGUACGCUGGCGGCGUGCCUAAUACAUGCAAGUCGAGCGAUGAUUAAAGAUAGCUUGCUAUUUUUAUGAAGAGCGGCGAACGGGUGAGUAACGCGUGGGAAAUCUGCCGAGUAGCGGGGGACAACGUUUGGAAACGAACGCUAAUACCGCAGAACAAUGAGAAUGGCAUGAUUAUUAUGUGAAAGAAGCAAUUGCUUCACUACUUGAUGAUCACGGGUUGUAUUAGCGAGUUGGUAGGGUAAAGGACUACCAAGGCGAUGAUACAUAGCCGACCUGAGAGGGGGAUCGGCCACACUGGGACUGAGACACGGCCCAGACUCCUACGGGAGGCAGCAGUAGGGAAUCUUCGGCAAUGGGGGCAACCCUGACCGAGCAACGCCGCGUGAGUGAAGAAGGUUUUCGGAUCGUAAAACUCUGUUGUUAGAGAAGAACGUUAAGUAGAGUGGAAAAUUACUUAAGUGACGGUAUCUAACCAGAAAGGGACGGCUAACUACGUGCCAGCCGCCGCAGUAA